This 567-nucleotide ribosomal RNA is filed under the name uncultured bacterium. Its description in RNAcentral is "bacterial SSU rRNA". It matches the Rfam family "Bacterial small subunit ribosomal RNA", at positions 852 to 1424 of the family's 1533-position model. The record is from RNAcentral.
CUAGCGCAUUAAGUUCCCCGCCUGGGGAGUACGGCCGCAAGGCUAAAACUCAAAGGAAUUGACGGGGACCCGCACAAGCGGCGGAGCAUGCGGAUUAAUUCGAUGCAACGCGAAGAACCUUACCUGGGUUUGACAUACACCGGAAGCCUCUAGAGAUAGAGGUCUCUUUGAUACUGGUGUACAGGUGGUGCAUGGCUGUCGUCAGCUCGUGUCGUGAGAUGUUGGGUUAAGUCCCGCAACGAGCGCAACCCUCGUUCCAUGUUGCCAGCACGUAAUGGUGGGGACUCAUGGGAGACUGCCGGGGUCAACUCGGAGGAAGGUGGGGAUGACGUCAAGUCAUCAUGCCCCUUAUGUCCAGGGCUUCACGCAUGCUACAAUGGCCGGUACAAAGGGCUGCGAUCCCGUGAGGGGGAGCGAAUCCCAAAAAGCCGGUCUCAGUUCGGAUUGGGGUCUGCAACUCGACCCCAUGAAGUCGGAGUCGCUAGUAAUCGCAGAUCAGCAACGCUGCGGUGAUACGUUCCCGGGCUUUGUACACACCGCCCGUNCAGGGGGAUUCGCGCCGCUAAU